CUAACGGUUCUUCUCAGAACCAAACAUGUAAAUAAGUCAAUAGUC
This is a non-coding RNA of Soboliphyme baturini, 45 nucleotides long. The record is from Rfam. Lineage: Eukaryota; Metazoa; Nematoda; Enoplea; Dioctophymatida; Soboliphymatidae.